AACGCACGAGACCUGCGGACCUGCGGAAGGAUCAUUCGUGAAGCAGGCGCUCCGUCGCCCUUCUCUACCCUUCAACCAUGUGGUCUUCUGCCAUUGCCUCGGGGGGGUUUGAGGCGGCCUCGGCCGUCGGGGCCCCUUGCUGGGCCCCGCCCCCCCGCGUGCCCUUGAUAAAGUCUUGGAGUGAUAUUUGCGUCUGAUCUGUCCGGUGGACAUAAUGAAAAUAAAACUUUCAGCAAUGGA
RNAcentral lists this unclassified non-coding RNA (240 nucleotides) under soil metagenome. RNAcentral's name for it is "partial contains 5.8S ribosomal RNA, internal transcribed spacer 2, and large subunit ribosomal RNA". The record is from RNAcentral.